This 82-nucleotide transfer RNA is filed under the name Callorhinchus milii (elephant shark). Its description in RNAcentral is "tRNA-Ser (GCT) (tRNA-Ser-GCT-8-1)". It matches the Rfam family "tRNA". Rfam says of the family: Transfer RNA (tRNA) molecules are approximately 80 nucleotides in length. The record is from Rfam by way of RNAcentral. Lineage: Eukaryota; Metazoa; Chordata; Chondrichthyes; Chimaeriformes; Callorhinchidae.
GACGAGGUGGCCGAGUGGUUAUGGCGAUGGACUGCUAAUCCAUUGUGCUCUGCACGUGUGGGUUCGAAUCCCACCCUCGUCG